CGGGGGGAGCAAGCGUUGUUCGGAUCUACUGGGCGUAAAGGGCGCGUAGGCGGCCACCGCAAGUCGACUGUGAAAUCUCCGGGCUUAACCCGGAACGGUCAGCCGAUACUGCGGGGCUAGAGUGCAGAAGGGGCAACUGGAAUUCUCGGUGUAGCGGUGAAAUGCGUAGAUACCGAGAGGAACACCUGCGGCGAAGGCGGGUUGCUGGGCUGACACUGACGCUGAGGCGCGAAAGCUAGGGGAGCGAACGGGAUUAGAUACCCCGGUAGUCCUAGCCUUAAACGAUGAAUGCUUGGUGUCUGGGGUUUUAUAGUCCCCGGGUGCCGUCGCUAACGCUUUAAGCAUUCCGCCUGGGGAGUACGGUCGCAAGACUG
This 374-nucleotide ribosomal RNA is filed under the name uncultured organism. Its description in RNAcentral is "bacterial SSU rRNA". It matches the Rfam family "Bacterial small subunit ribosomal RNA", at positions 526 to 896 of the family's 1533-position model. The record is from RNAcentral.